Molecule: long non-coding RNA, 892 nt
Organism: Oncorhynchus tshawytscha (Chinook salmon)
Lineage: Eukaryota; Metazoa; Chordata; Actinopteri; Salmoniformes; Salmonidae
Source: Ensembl
CAGAUCCUGAUUGGAUGUUACAUUUCCAGAACCCUCCCCCCCACAUGGCAAAACGUGUUAUGUUCGUCACUGUUUUCAGACCGGGGAAGGACACGUUUUGUAGAGUUGUUCCAUAUGCUAGUUUGCAACAUUGCAGAAAAGGGUAGAGACCCUGGAGGAAAAGCUGAACUGUGUUUAUCAGAAGUAUGUUCUACACACAACAUAGACACACAUCAGCAUAUUCUGAUGGGGUUUUAAUCAGCGAUUUCCAGAGCAUCCUCACGCACUGUUGCACCUACGACACUAAUGUAGCGAGCACUAUUGGAGCUCCGCAGCAAGGCAUUUGGGUUCACUGAUUUACAGCCGGUUCCCUAUUUAGAUAUUUUUCUGCCUUCAACUUCCCCAGGCUUCCGUUUUAGGGAAGCCUUGUUCGUGACGAUGCUAUCAUGGAACAGACCUUAAGCCUGCCCUGCUGAGUAGCUAGCCCUGCCUUACUGCCUGCCCUGCUGAGUAGCAAGCCCUGCCUUACUGCCUGCCCUGCUGAGUAGCAAGCCCUGCCUUAGUGCCUGCCCUGCUGAGUAGCAAGCCCUGCCUUACUGCCUGCCCUGCUGAGUAGCAAGCCCUGCCCUGCUGAGUAGCAAGCCCUGCCCUGCUGAGUAGCAAGCCCUGCCUUACUGCCUGCCCUGCUGAGUAGCUAGCCCUGCCUUACUGCCUGCCCUGCUGAGUAGCUAGCCCUGCCUUACUGCCUGCCCUGCUGAGUAGCAAGCCCUGCCCUGCUGAGUAGCAAGCCCUGCCUUACUGCCUGCCCUGCUGAGUAGCUCUCUCCUGCUGAGAGCUCUAUCCACAGGUCUCUCUACUGGACACCAGCUCUAUCUACAGAGACCGUCGUCGUAGACAAACCAUCAGAUCAACA